Molecule: long non-coding RNA, 194 nt
Filed under: Cyanistes caeruleus (blue tit)
Lineage: Eukaryota; Metazoa; Chordata; Aves; Passeriformes; Paridae
Description: lncRNA (ENSCCEG00000007296.1)
Source: RNAcentral
UGCUGUCUCAGUCUGUGGAGCUGCAAAGUUUUGAAAGAGGAAGUUUGACAGGCAUGCCUAGACUCAUGUCUUUUUAUGUCUUACUGCAUGAGCACUUACCAGCAACAGCUCUCAGUAAAAUAUAUUAGCUUCACUCUGCAAAAAUACAGAUAAAUAGAAAAGAAAUAACAGCUUGACCCAACACCUCCUUGCCA